Molecule: ribosomal RNA, 400 nt
Filed under: uncultured bacterium
Lineage: Bacteria
Description: bacterial SSU rRNA
Rfam family: Bacterial small subunit ribosomal RNA
Source: RNAcentral
UGGGGAAUAUUGGACAAUGGGCGCAAGCCUGAUCCAGCCAUGCCGCGUGAGUGAUGACGGCCUUAGGGUUGUAAAGCUCUUUCGCACGCGACGAUAAUGACGGUAGCGCGAGAAGAAGCCCCGGCUAACUUCGUGCCAGCAGCCGCGGUAAUACGAAGGGGGCUAGCGUUGUUCGGAAUCACUGGGCGUAAAGGGUGCGUAGGCGGAUUCUUAAGUCAGGGGUGAAAUCCCGAGGCUCAACCUCGGAACUGCCUUUGAUACUGGGGAUCUUGAGUCCGGAAGAGGUGAGUGGAACUGCGAGUGUAGAGGUGAAAUUCGUAGAUAUUCGCAAGAACACCGGUGGCGAAGGCGGCUCACUGGUCCGGAACUGACGCUGAGGCACGACAGCGUGGGGAGCAAA